AGUGAACGCUGGCGGUAGGCCUAACACAUGCAAGUCGAACGGCAGCACAGAGGAGCUUGCUCCUUGGGUGGCGAGUGGCGGACGGGUGAGGAAUACAUCGGAAUCUACUCUGUCGUGAGGGAUAACGUAGGGAAACUUACGCUAAUACCGCAUACGACCUACGGGUGAAAGCAGGGGAUCUUCGGACCUUGCGCGAUUGAAUAAGCCGAUGUCGGAUUAGCUAGUUGGCGGGGUAAAGGCCCACCAAGGCGACGAUCCGUAGCUGGUCUGAGAGGAGGAUCAGCCACACUGGAACUGAGACACGGUCCAGACUCCUACGGGAGGCAGCAGUGGGGAAUAUUGGACAAUGGGCGCAAGCCUGAUCCAGCCAUACCGCGUGGGUGAAGAAGGCCUUCGGGUUGUAAAGCCCUUUUGUUGGGAAAGAAAUCCAUCUGGUUAAUACCCGGGUGGGAUGACGGUACCCAAAGAAUAAGCACCGGCUAACUUCGUGCCAGCCGCCGCCGUAA
Molecule: ribosomal RNA, 506 nt
Filed under: uncultured bacterium
Lineage: Bacteria
Description: partial 16S ribosomal RNA
Rfam family: Bacterial small subunit ribosomal RNA
Source: RNAcentral